This 331-nucleotide ribosomal RNA is filed under the name uncultured Actinomycetes bacterium. RNAcentral describes it as "bacterial SSU rRNA". It matches the Rfam family "Bacterial small subunit ribosomal RNA", at positions 28 to 351 of the family's 1533-position model. Lineage: Bacteria; Bacillati; Actinomycetota; Actinomycetes. The record is from RNAcentral.
GACGAACGCUGGCGGCGUGCUUAACACAUGCAAGUCGAACGAGGUUCAACCGAUCUUCGGAUUGGUGAAGACCUAGUGGCGAACGGGUGCGUAACACGUGAGGAACCUACCCCAGUCUCUGGAAUAACAAGCGGAAACGUUUGCUAAUACCGGAUGUCGUCGGGCCACCACAUGGCGGCUCGACAAAAGAUUUAUCGGGUUGGGAGGGUCUCGCGGCCUAUCAGCUAGUUGGUGAGGUAACGGCUCACCAAGGCAUCGACGGGUAGCUGGUCUGAGAGGAUGAUCAGCCACACUGGGACUGAGACACGGCCCAGACACCUACGGGAGGCAG